This 500-nucleotide long non-coding RNA is filed under the name Jatropha curcas. RNAcentral describes it as "long non-coding RNA (JCUR_LNC001743)". The record is from RNAcentral. Lineage: Eukaryota; Viridiplantae; Streptophyta; Magnoliopsida; Malpighiales; Euphorbiaceae.
UUUCUUCCAAAUGUAUUCUCCAGCUCCUUAGCCAAGUACUCACAUAAUCAAAAGGCCUAAAUUUCACACCAAAAACAACAAAUCAUGUAAUUAUAAUAGUUUGAUUGCUGUCUAUAUAUUUUCUCUGAUGCAUAUAUCUAGAUGUACCAAUUUGUUUGCUGCUGCUCAGAUUUAUUGGUAAAACAUGAAACGUUUAAUGUGUAACUUCUCAAUCAAUAACUCCUUGAUUACCUCGUUUCUUCCAGAGCAGGCUGUUGCAAAAUAUACUGGAUUGGCUGCCAAGAAUUGUUGAAAGGAAAUCCUCGAGAAGAAGAUAUUCACUGGAACUGUGCUUUUGAAGAAUUUGAUGAUGUUGUUCCACUUGAAUGUUUCCUAUACCUUGUUGAGGGUGAUUUUACCAGAAUCGGAGAAUCUGCAAUAAAUUAAGAAGGCCAGGAUGUUAUUUAUUGCAACAAAAUGACAGCAAUAGAAGGAAGCAGAAUCUGGUAAUUGUCAUGAAG